UCGUCUCGUAUUACUCGUCGAGACGUUCUCGCGGGAAGUACUGUUCGACAGUGCGUCGAUCGAACGCAAGCCCUUUUUACAAGUGAGUAAUUAAUCGGUGCGAUAUUAUUUACCACGAUUGUGAAAAGCAUAUCACGGUUUGUCGAAGCAAAUAUUUCUUUAGAUAUCGAAAUACAUGCAAUAUUACGUGCUUCAACUUCCAACAGUUUUUUCGCCGGUUAAAAUGUUUUAUAAUUGCGAACGAAGAAGCAUAUACGACAUAUAUCGAAUGACAUUUGUCAAUAAUACGUGUGUCUCGGGAAAUUUAAUGGAAUAUUGAAUGCAAUAUUGAACGUCAUAUAUAUUUUCGAACUGUUCUCUCUCGCUCUCGUCUGAAACUAGUGAUUGAUUUGACUCGCGUAGUACAACGUGAAGUUAUCCCGCCAUCCGCCAUGAUAUAUACUGUACACGAACGGAUCGAGUCGCGUCGUUGCGUGUGUAAUCAGUGAAUCGUAAUUAAAAUCGUAUUGCAAUGAUUCGCAAUCGUCGUGCAAAGUCACUUUUACGUUAAUCUAAUUCGAGUUAUCGCGAACGCCGACCAAGUUCUCGUGCCAUUUUCCAACCGUGCAGUCGAGUGCGUGUUCCUUUGUCGUUAACGACAAAGUUAACUUCGGGAGUGCCGUGUAAAGUGUCGCGCGAUCGUCGUAUUUGGGUAAUUAGUGCGCGCGUAAUCGUAAUUAUCCGUGUUUUCGCGAGUGAGUUUCCUCAAAUUCCAAGGAGCAGAACGAAGAGAGGAAAAGGAGGCAUCUCUCUCUCUCUCUCUCUUUUGGAGGAGCAACUGCGUCAUGGGAGCAAAUGACGACACAGAAGAGGAAGGAAGAAGAGAUGACCUUGGAGGCGAGGGGGCAUCGGGCAUCGGCGGAGCAACGUGGGAUUAAUGUAAUGUACUACAUCUCCGCUGUUAUAUUCAUCACCAG
This is a long non-coding RNA of Nylanderia fulva, 956 nucleotides long. RefSeq lists it as uncharacterized. The record is from RefSeq and is a predicted model, not a curated record. Lineage: Eukaryota; Metazoa; Arthropoda; Insecta; Hymenoptera; Formicidae.